UUGACCUCGGAUCAGGUAGGGAUACCCGCUGAACUUAAGCAUAUCAAUAAGCGGAGGAAUUUUUCAAUUAGCCGAGGAAG
RNAcentral lists this ribosomal RNA (80 nucleotides) under Alternaria sp. RNAcentral's name for it is "partial 28S ribosomal RNA". Lineage: Eukaryota; Fungi; Ascomycota; Dothideomycetes; Pleosporales; Pleosporaceae. The record is from RNAcentral.